This 141-nucleotide ribosomal RNA is filed under the name uncultured eukaryote. RNAcentral describes it as "partial 18S ribosomal RNA". It matches the Rfam family "Eukaryotic small subunit ribosomal RNA", at positions 1299 to 1458 of the family's 1831-position model. The record is from RNAcentral.
UGGUGGAGUGAUUUGUCUGGUUAAUUCCGUUAACGAACGAGACCUCGACCUACUAAAUAGUCAGCAGAUGGAUCCGUCCAUUUGACGUACUUCUUAGAGGGACUGUCGGUUGGGAGCCGAAGGAAGUUCGAGGCAAUAACA